GUUAAUAUAGUUUAAUUAGAUCAUAAUACUGAAAAUAUUAAGGUAGUCUCUAAGACUUAAUAACA
Molecule: transfer RNA, 65 nt
Filed under: unidentified
Description: Spelaeomysis bottazzii tRNA-Phe
Source: RNAcentral